CGCACUAGCCGGGGAGAUAGCGGUGCCCUGUAACCUGCAAUCCGCUACAGCAGGAGUGAAUUCCUACACCCGGGCAUAUCCUGUAUUGUCUGACCCCCGUAAGCGGCGAUGAGGAACCGGUCCUGCGCAACGCGAUCCCGCGAACCAUGUCAGGCGGGGAACCGAGCAGCAUUAAACGGACCAUUGCGUGUGCCGCAGGGGCGCCGUUUCCGAGCUGGCUGCGCGGGUAACGGGUAUAGUAUAUGUUCAAAUGUAGGUGU
This 260-nucleotide signal recognition particle RNA is filed under the name bovine gut metagenome. Its description in RNAcentral is "Bacterial large signal recognition particle RNA". It matches the Rfam family "Bacterial large signal recognition particle RNA". From Rfam's summary of the family: The signal recognition particle (SRP) is a universally conserved ribonucleoprotein involved in the co-translational targeting of proteins to membranes. Archaeal SRP consists of a 7S RNA and homologues of the eukaryotic SRP19 and SRP54 proteins. The record is from RNAcentral.